Pristis pectinata (smalltooth sawfish) is the source of this 644-nucleotide long non-coding RNA. RefSeq lists it as uncharacterized. The transcript has 2 exons. The record is from RefSeq and is a predicted model, not a curated record. Lineage: Eukaryota; Metazoa; Chordata; Chondrichthyes; Rhinopristiformes; Pristidae.
CAGAAAUCGGAGCUCUGCCAAGGCAGGCAGAGAGGUCGUUGAUGCUGCUGCUGUGACCAGAGCUGGUGCUCUCUGAUGGAGCAAUCUCACCCCUCGAUCUUGUGUUACGGGACACCAGGAGUAGGACAUGUGAAUGAUUGGGCAGCUAGGAACGCUGAUGACCAGAGAGAUCCUGGGGUUCAAGUUCACAGCUCCCUGAAAGUGACAUCGCAGGUCAACAGGGUGGUGAAGGAGGCAAACGGCAUGUUGCCUUCAUAAGUUCGGGCAGAGAAUAUAGAAUUUGGGACAUUAUGUUGCAACUUUUCUAAACACUGGUGAGACGGCACUUGUGUGAAGUUCUGGUCGCCCCCCCCCCCCCACCCCCCCCCCCCCCCCCGGUGGAAGGGUGUGGAGAAAGAGUAGAGGAGAUUCACCACGACGUUGCCUGGACGGGAGGGCUUUAGCCAUGGGGAGAGACUGGACCGGCUGGGCUUCCCCGGGGUGCAGGCUGCUGACGGGUGACCUGAUAGAGGUGCACAGGAAAUUCCUCCAUCACCGAAAUUCACAGAUCACUACCCAAAAAUCGGAGAUGCGGAAUAUAAUUCACAGAGUUUAUGUGGGAUAAAAUUAAAUAAAUCAACAGAAGAUGGGAAAGAAACAACAAA